GCGCGGUAAUACGGAGGGUGCAAGCGUUGUCCGGAUUUAUUGGGUUUAAAGGGUGCGUAGGUGGGUUGGUAAGUCAGUGGUGAAAUCCCCGAGCUUAACUUGGGAACCGCCAUUGAUACUAUCAGUCUUGAAUACCGUGGAGGUCAGCGGAAUAUGUCAUGUAGCGGUGAAAUGCUUAGAUAUGACAUAGAACACCAAUUGCGAAGGCAGCUGGCUACCCGAAUAUUGACACUGAGGCACGAAAGCGUGG
RNAcentral lists this ribosomal RNA (250 nucleotides) under uncultured bacterium. Its description in RNAcentral is "partial 16S ribosomal RNA". It matches the Rfam family "Bacterial small subunit ribosomal RNA", at positions 515 to 764 of the family's 1533-position model. The record is from RNAcentral.